This 264-nucleotide unclassified non-coding RNA is filed under the name Glomus sp. RNAcentral describes it as "partial internal transcribed spacer 2". The record is from RNAcentral. Lineage: Eukaryota; Fungi; Glomeromycota; Glomeromycetes; Glomerales; Glomeraceae.
GGGAAUCAUCAAAUUUUUGAACGCAAAUUGCACGCGCUUCGGAGAGUAAGCCUGUGCGAGGGUCAGCCUCAAAAAAAUCGACAUAGUCGCUGUUUCGCGGUGACAUUCGUCGGAAAUUGGGUCAUCUUAAACUUCUGGGUUUUAAGCGGCUUAAAAUUUUCUUUACGAUUCUACGAACGUUUCUAAGAUUUACUUACACGUUUAAGGUAUCGAUUUUUAUUAGACGUGGCCGCUGCAUCGGAUCACGUUCAUAAAUAUCUCGUU